RNAcentral lists this long non-coding RNA (638 nucleotides) under Hordeum vulgare. Its description in RNAcentral is "long non-coding RNA (HVUL_LNC002311)". Lineage: Eukaryota; Viridiplantae; Streptophyta; Magnoliopsida; Poales; Poaceae. The record is from RNAcentral.
ACCCCGCACGUCUUCGCCCUGUCAACCGCUCCCGCCUCUCGUUCACACACCCGCCAGCCCCGUCGCCGGCCGGCCCCUCCACCCAUCCCGCCGGCCCCUACGCAGCCCAGUCCCGCCAUCCAGCCACGCCGCCGGCCAGCCACUCCAUCGCCCAGCCCCGUCGGCCCUUGCGCAGCCCAGCCACGCCGCCGCACAGCCCCGUCGGCCCCCUGCUCUCCAUCGGCCUCCCUUCAUUCCCCAUCGCAAAAUCCAUCGCCUCCUCAACCACAAACCUCCACGCUCACACCCUGCCCUUUCAAGCAAGCAUGUGUCAUCGGCAGCCAUCCCUGCUCUCCAUCUUCAAGAACAAUGACAAGACGAGGGGAAGACAACUCCAUAAUGAUGGAUGCAAUGGCGGAGAUUCACCUCCAUGUCCACUGGUUGUACUUCAGAUGAGCAUGACCGUAUACUUUCCCCAGCCAGGCUGCAACAACGACAAGGCGUCAAGUAUCCCAUUCAUCUCUUCUUGGGUAUAGGACUGAUAGUUAUGUUCCUGCUUUGGUUUAUUUAAUAAGGAAUGAUAGUUCUGAUGGUGUUUGAUGCUACCAUGAGGAAGAAAAAUAUAUAUAAACGAAGUUCGGAAUAAAGAACCAUGAGGN